GACAGAGGGUGCAAACGUUGCUCGGAAUUAUUGGGCGUAAAGCGCACGUAGGCGGUCCCUCAAGUCGGGUGUGAAAGCCCUCGGCUUAACCGAGGAAGUGCAUUCGAAACUAAGGGACUUGAAUACUGGAGAGGAUGGCGGAAUUCCCGGUGUAGAGGUGAAAUUCGUAGAUAUCGGGAGGAACACCAGCGGCGAAGGCGGCCAUCUGGACAGAUAUUGACGCUGAGGUGCGAAAGCGUGGGGAGCAAACAGG
RNAcentral lists this ribosomal RNA (253 nucleotides) under uncultured bacterium. RNAcentral's name for it is "partial 16S ribosomal RNA". It matches the Rfam family "Bacterial small subunit ribosomal RNA", at positions 524 to 776 of the family's 1533-position model. The record is from RNAcentral.